GGGGUGUUGGCUCAGUGAUAGAGCUCUUGCCUGGUAAGUAAGAGGCCAUGAAUUCCAUCCUUGUAUACCACA
RNAcentral lists this transfer RNA (72 nucleotides) under Rattus norvegicus (Norway rat). It matches the Rfam family "tRNA". Rfam says of the family: Transfer RNA (tRNA) molecules are approximately 80 nucleotides in length. Their secondary structure includes four short double-helical elements and three loops (D, anti-codon, and T loops). Lineage: Eukaryota; Metazoa; Chordata; Mammalia; Rodentia; Muridae. The record is from Rfam by way of RNAcentral.